GACGAACGCUGGCGGCGUGCUUAACACAUGCAAGUCGAACGGAAAGGCCCUGCUUUUGUGGGGUGCUCGAGUGGCGAACGGGUGAGUAACACGUGAGUAACCUGCUCUUGACUUUGGGAUAACUUCAGGAAACUGGGGCUAAUCCCGGAUAGGAGCUCCUGCUGCAUGGUGGGGGUUGGAACGUUUCGGCGGUUGGGGAUGGACUCGCGGCUUAUCAGCUUGUUGGUGGGGUAGUGGCUUACCCAGGCUUUGACGGGUAGCCGGCCUGAGAGGGUGACCGGCCACAUUGGGACUGAGAUACGGCCCAGACUCCUACGGGAGACAGCAGGGGGGAAUAUUGCACAAUGGGCGGAAGCCUGAUGCAGCAACGCCGCGUGCGUGAUGACGGCCUUCGGGGUGUAAACCGCUGUCGCCUGUGACGAAGCGGGAGUGACGGUAAUGGGUAAAGAAGCACCGGCUAACUACGUG
RNAcentral lists this ribosomal RNA (468 nucleotides) under uncultured bacterium. RNAcentral describes it as "partial 16S ribosomal RNA". It matches the Rfam family "Bacterial small subunit ribosomal RNA", at positions 28 to 507 of the family's 1533-position model. The record is from RNAcentral.